GCGAGCGGCGGAGAGGCCGCGGCUCGAGGUGGCGUGGCUGGAGCCUGUGCGGGGGGCGUUCGUGUUAACGGUCGAUGAAUUCGGCGUGCCAAACAGACCACCCUUUAAAUAUUUAGAGACGAGGAGCUCCCUAAUAAAAGAUUUACAAGAAAAAAGAAAGAUUGUUAUGGUGCCAUUUAGAAACUCUAACAAAAUAGAUACUACAGACAGACAGUAAAAUAUUUUUGUUUAGCACAUCAUUAUUCUGCGAGAAUAGCCAUUGAUAAGUAUCAAAACGCAGAGGAGAGGAAGAGCCUUACCACCUGGCCGGACUUCCCGACUUAGUGUUUUUAUUUGCGUAUUCUACUAUUUACGGAAACUGUCCUAGGCAAAUACUAUGCUUUAUUUGUUUAGGGCUGGUUUUUGGAUGAGGAAAGAUGUAACAGCGGACUGUUGAUAACGGGUGAGUUGGCCGGGAAGCGUUCGCCACCUCUGCUGUUGUCGGUGCUCCGCAGUGCAGGGAAAGCCGAAAGGCUCCUUGGUCUCCACGUGGGAGCAGUGACCACGAGGCUCCAGCUUAGCCGCUCGGCCGCUUGUUUGCGAGGAGCCUCAGUUCCAGCCUCUGCUCCGGCACAUUUUUUUUUUUAAUUAAGUUUCCAGAUAAAACAAUUACCUGGCAUUCUCUCUCUGGUUUCAUUAAUCUUUAUAAUGGAAGAGCUUCAACAGAGUAUACAAUAUAUUUAUCUACACUGUAGCGUUUUUUUUUUCUUUCCUGGGAAGUAAGAACUAUGGGUUUGAAAUUUCUCAGGAAGAGGCUAGGAAAGAACUCAGGCCCCAGGCUGCUAUACGAAAGUACAGAAAUACAACGGUACCUUCUCUUCCUGUAUUUUAAAUGCACUGACCUUGGUCCAUAGAAGGAGGAUUUAAGGCACUCUCCUGUAUCAAGUAUUCCUUCUGACCAGCUCUAGACAACCGCCUAUCAAGCCUUCACUGUCCGGUUCGAAGCCCCUAGUUUCUCUGCAGAGUGUAGACCAAGAUGUUGCACUACUCCAUGUUGUAAAACCCUGUUUGGAUCUAGUCUUCAGGCCGUAUGAAAGGAAUGUAAGCAGAGUGGUGAGUGAUUUAGGAUGCAUUCUUUUUAUUUCAUAAAAAAGUUUAGGGAUAAAACCAGUUGAAACCUAGGAGCCCAAAGAAGACGCGUGUGUUAUGCAUGUGUGGACAGUUUAUCUUUAGAUGUUCUUUAUUUUUUUUUCCUAUCUUUAUUAAAAAAGUAACCAAAUAAAAAAUCUGUUUUCUUCAUAUGGAAAAAAAAAAUAGGAUAAGAGGCAAAAGCAAAAAUAACUAAAUCUAAAAAGAAAAAAAAUAAGAGACCCCCAUUGCAAAACUUCAUGCUUUUCAGACUGCUGUGAAUUCAAAGGACAGAAGAUGUCAUUUUCAGGUAGAAUACGCCUUAGAUAACGGAUAUAUAGGACAUUUUCCCAGUAUCUCAUGGACAGUAUAUACAAUAGGCAAGGAAAAGGCUUUCUGAGCUGAUUAUACAAUCAUAAGAAGUUGAGGUAGCACUAUUGAAAAUUAAUUUUUCAAAUUGGGUGUUUGAAUAGGUUUUUUGUUUAACAUUCUUAUUGCACCUUGAGUUUGUCUCAUAUCACAGCUGCCAUGACCAGAGAACAAAAGGUAAACAGAACUUUUUAGAUUCUGAUAACGACUAUAAUUAACAUCACGAGGCUGUGGAAAUUGCAGUAUUCCCUAUGGAUUUCUUGUCGUGCUCCUGUGUUGCUGCACUGAUGAUAAAGAUUUUUAAACAGGAUAUCUUCAGUGUUUGGAAUUGUCCUGCCAUUGACAGUAUUCCUGCUCUCCAUGGCUGCUCUCCAUGGCAUCUGUGAAUCUGUUCUUAAUACUUAUGCUAGAACUGUGUUUCUGAGCUAGUCUAGCUGAAAACUGCAUCUUGUCAUAAAGUAAGCAUAUUACUUUUAAGCGGCGUAUGUUGUUCAGUAUCCAAAGAGAAGCCUUUCUUCUUACGAUGUGGUCAAAGCACACAACAUGGGAUUUUUUUGAGCUAGUUAGUAAAACGUUAGUAAAAGCAAGUAUAUUUUAAAAUCCCAGUAUGAGAAUAUUUUAACCAAGAAUUCAGUGAUGUCAUAAAAUAAAUUAUUUUUGCUCUUAAACCUGUGCCAGGGCCAGAUCAAACUAUGGUAUAAAGGCAGUAUUAUGGUAUUGCGGCGCUGACUGAUUUAUUAGAGGCCUUGCAGAGGAGAAGGCCAUUAGCACUGAAGUGUGUAGCCUAUCUGAGCCUCCACCUGUAGCACAGAGUGGUCAGUCCUCAGCCAGUACGACUGUAAAGAUCUCAUAUUUCUUUGCUCAUUUUUAAAUUUUGGUCAUUAACUGCCGUGUCUGAUUAAUUUCUAAGCUGACAGAUUUUGACAGCUGCCAGUUUGGUUCACACAGCGUAGACUGAGCAGGGGAGCUGCGCAGCUGGAACGGAUACCGUGGCCCGAGCUACGGCACUGAACCUGGCACAGGGACACAUCCCGACGCUCUCUACGCUGGGAACAACGUAGAACCUAACAGAUGUACUGAUCAGGGGACUAUUUGUCUUCCAGGCACCUGAGGACCCGUGUUAGUUUCAUCCUAGAUGAGCUGUUACUUACAAAUCGGUGAAUAUGUACAUGUUACUUUCAAAGUUCAAAUCUGAACUUUUCAGUGUCCAGCUUCACUAUCAGAUUAUUAAUAGCAUUAUCUAUUUACAUUAUUUAUUUAUUAUGUAUAUUUCUCUUUAAGUCUGACUGGACGUGAAGAGUUUCAGAGUUUUGUCCAGUAUUCUGCCACACAAGUACAAUAUCUGAUAAAUGUAAAUAUUGUUAUCUUUAUUACUUAAUGUUAUUGCUGUUAUGGUGGGAGUAGACGUGAGGAGUUUAGCUCUGAAAUAUGGUACUUUACACAGACUGAGAAGCAAAUUGUCUUCAAUGACUGACCAAAGCUGGGAGUAAGACAGAAAUACCAUCUCUUUUGAAUUAAUUAUGAACCACGCAGCUCUUGCUGUUAUCUGUUUACACAUUAUUGGCCUUGUGAGGUACUGGAGAGAGAUUGCCUUUCACUGUCUGGUCCAAAUGUACUUUAAGUCCAAUUUCCCUAAAAAGACUGCUCACUUUACUCGUUGAAAGGGUCAUUGUGUUAGUUAUUACAGUGUUUUCUUUGUGCUCGCUUUCCCUGAAUUCCAGUAACUAUUUUGUAGAAAAGUUUGAGAGUGAACUUUUGAUGCCUGUGAAAGCUGCUUCAUUGACUUUAUUGACUCCAGAGGCUGAAGUUCUUUAUCCACAGAGAUCUUUAAAAGGACACUAAAAAGUUUCAGCCAGAGCUUAUAGAAUUUGGUACUUAUGGUUAAGUAUUAUGGGCCCAAUGCUGUUCCCAUGGAGACCGAAAGGAAUUUUUCCAUUGAAUUAAGUGGUGGCAAAGCAUACCCUUUAUUAAGUGGGAAAAGGAGUAGACUGGAAAGCUCAGUUUGUUGUUACGGGGUUUGUUUGCUUGCCUGCUUUUCUGUACAAAGAAAGAAACCAGAAGAAAUUAUAGAUACUUAUGUUGUGAUACAUCUGCUUCAUACUUACUGUGUUUGUAGGUAAAACUGUGUUUGCAGCUACAACGGGAUAUGCCAAGGGGCAACAGUAGAGACAUCUUUGUUUCACUUGCUGCUAGGGUCUUGAAAAUCUGGAUGCGUGGAGGGUGCUUCAGUUCACCACGUGUCUCCUGGUUGGGAGAGGUCAGCAGCAGUACAACUGGUUUCUGUUGGCAGAUGUUAUUAGUGCUUCUUUAACAGAAGGUUGUGUGCCAGGUGUAAGGGCACAGUUUAAUGUAAAUUUGUUAAAACACCCCCGCUUGUUAACAGUAAAUUUUGAUGAUUUCCUAGAACACAAAGAAAUCAGAAAUAUACUCACAUUUAUAAAAAGGGUUUCCAUUCUGGAUGUUUGUGAUACCUCUCAAAUAAGCAGUUGUCAGAAGUCUAUGCUGAGCAGACUGCUUCAUCCAAAGUGAAUUCACUGCUUGAGUGAGGGCUCUACCUAUAUUCCACCGUAGAUAAAUGGCCAGAUCCUGCAGUCUUACAUAUGAAAAUCCAUACUAGUUCACACAGAAAGAGAAAAUCAAGGCCUAAAAUAGUACAAUAUGGUGCUGAUUUUUUUUCUAGUUGGAAUUCUAUCAUGAAAUCCUGAACUACUGAAGUCAACAGAUUCAUGAUUGAUUUAAGUGGAGUGAGGAUUUUGUCUAUAAUGAAGUCCUUUCAUUUUGGAUCACUGCGAGAUUUCUCUUGUUCUUUUUAGUGCCUUAUGACACAUUCACGCUGUCCUUGCCUCAGACAAAGGGAAAUUAUACUAUCAUAGUCUCCUUUUAAAUAUUUUCUAUUUGAAGACUCACUGAAAAGACUCCAGAGGCAAAUUCUUGGUUUAGAAGUUGCUAUUUAUGUCUAGACACAUCUGAAUGUUGUUAUGCUUUGAAUGUUCUGGAUUGCUUGCCACUUUCUUUGUCAGGAUGAACGAGUCUAGAGAGAGAGCACAUUAUUUUAAAUUAACUUUAAAUAUGUUUUAACUGUAUCAGGGUUCUACUUGUUGCAACUGACAAAAAUACCUAACAGUAUAAGCAAGACCACAAGAAAAUUAUUAUUAUUCCUGUUUUAAAGCAGAGCAGAAACAUGUUCUCAAUAUGUGGCAUUGGAUUCUUUUAACAUACUACUUUUUGUAUUUGCAUUAUCAUAUUGUCUUAGACUUCUGGUCAUGGCCAUGAGCCUGCAUACUAGACAUGCUACACAGACAAAACCAUUUUGUUGGUUUUACCCUAAAGGGUUUCAGUCUAAGUGAGACAGGUGAUGACGGGGAAUAUAGUCAGGCAGGGAAGUACCAGAAAAUAAUGAAAAGAUAAUAACUGCCAAGAAAGAGAGUAGUCUCGCUAUUGCUGAUCAACUAUCAAAGCUCUUGAUAAACAAAUAGAUAUAUUUGGCAGUUUAUAUAUUUCAUAGAAAAAAAAUAUAACUACUGAGAUAUGCACACCUGAAGUAAGGAGCCAAAUUGUCUUCAAUAUGUGCCUUCAGUUCCAAGAAUAUGUUACACAACUCAGUUUUCUUUUAAAAGGUCAAAGAAUUAAUGUUUCAUUUCCUUUUGUCAAAGCUGUGAAUCAGUCAGUUGACUCCAAAACUUUGAACAAGAGACAGUACAAAAUAGGCCUCUUCUUAAGUAAAUUAUACAUUGUAAUUGUAAUGUUAUAUGUAUCAGAUUUUUAUUGAGCAUUCUUGUUUUGGCUUGAAAUUGAACUUCUAAGAUUCUGCAGCUCAGCUGAAGUGUAUUUUUGCAAGUACUUGGCCACUACACUUAAAGAUACGGACAAGUGAGUUAGGAUCUAGAGUAAAGCAACAAAAACGAUCAAAGAUCUAGGAAUCAUUACUUUGCUCACUUGUCUGGACAAAGAUUGAAAGAAUGGAAAUUACAUGACACAAAGGAGAGAAGACAGAUUUAAAGCGGGGCCUGGAAGUAUCCAUUCCUUGGAACUGACUGCUUAGGGAGACUGCAGCAGGUCUAGAAAGACAUCUGACAGGAGAGGUGUGCACGCGGUUGAGCUACCUUGAGGUCAGGUGAUCACUUCAACUCAUUUCCACCUCCAUUUUUCUGCAGUUCCAUAAUUCUAGAAGGAUUCUUUGAAGUACUCUAAAGUACUAAAUUAAAUUACUGCUUGUUUUUAUUCUAAAUUUUGUGUUUGCUUAUUAAGCACAUAAAAACUAUGGAGAGUCAACAUGGAAGACAACCAUAACCUACCUCUCCAGCUCUAACAAGGCUCGCACAUCCAAUUAAAGAAGGACGGACUUACAACUCUUGUAAUUAUGUCUGCCUUGCUGUUGUGUAGGUAUUAAUGUCAAAGCAUUUCUGUAUGAGCUAGAUUAAGAAAUAAAUAAUUUUGUAUUGUUUUUCUUUAAUGAGAAACAGAGCCUCUGUGUCAAUCACAAUACUUCCUUUACUGAAUUCAGUGAGAGCGUGGUAGGACUCACAGUAAUGUCAGUCAGUCCAGUGCUGGGCAUGCUCAAGGACAGAUCUUCAAAUUUGUUUUGGAUAUAAAGCAUGGGAAUGCACAAAAAUAAAUUAUAUAGUGCAUGUCAGUUAGUUAUGGUAUCAAAGCUAACUGUGAACAGUCAACAUAAAUGGAGAGUUUGGACAGUAUUUUCAGGAACAUUUCAUCCCUAAAUCUGGAAAACAGAGGUGAGAUAUAAGAGUGGGACUCGUUGGUUUUCCAUCACUGUAAAGCAUACAGAAUACUAUUAAAUAUCUGUGUAUCAGUUUAUCUAACUGAGUUGGUGUUACUGCUGAUUGCAUGCUGUUUUACAUUCUUUUUUGAAGUCUGGAGAAAAUAUUUCAAAUGAACAAUCAAAAGAAUAUUUUACUCUUUUCACAUUCAGGAUGUGGAUUCUGUGAGACAUUUAUUCAGAAAAUGAAAUAUUAGGGCCUGACAGGUAUCUCUAACAUCACUGAGUAAGCAGGUUAUAUGGAGAUUUCUGGUACAAACAACCCAGUAUUUUGAUGAAUAUGUGAGUAAUACCAUUAUAGGAGUUGGAAAACUAGAUUAGAUUGGUGAUGAAAUUAGUCAUUUCAGUGAGUAUAAUAAAGCUUGAAAAUUAACAAUCUAUUAGAAUGAGUGCUGGCAGAGAAAUCUAUAUCGUUUUGUUUCUUUAAACAAAGAACAACAGAGCACUUUGCUUUACAGUGUUAACGUCUUCGUUGCACAGGGCUAGCCGCAGUAGAAGCAGAUUGCUGUACGAUCUCGCAGCCUGGAUGGCAGUGAGUUUUGCAAGAGGGUCGGGGAAAUGUUGUAUUCUCACGUGGAGCUUUUUGGUCGUGGCUUUGUGUUCGUUGUUGUUUUUGUGUACGACAUUUGUCUGGGGUUCUGACGCUCUGGUUUUGGUGUUGUCGUCAAAACGACGCCGACCGUCUCUAUUAGCUGAAGGAGUUAGGAGCUCUGAGACCUUCGAUUGUAAUUACAUUGCUUCAAAUGUCAGGUUCUUCAAAAGCACAUCGCUUUUGGUGAUAGAAACCUAAGCAGCUUAGGUGAUAGAAACCUAAGCAGCUUAAUAACUUCACGGUGCCUUACGCUGUAUUGGGAAUCUCCCUGCACAGAGAAUCUGGUAGGGGAAAUCUGAGUCACAGUGACAGCUUUAACAAACAGGAAGACAGUGAAGGAAAGUGAGUAUGUGAUGAGCUCGGAAUAGGUGAGUUGAUGAUUUGCUAUUUAUAGAUGCACUAAGAGGCUCAAAGACAGGAUCUCCAGACAGGGACAGUAUUUGGUACUGUAUGAAAAUCAUUCCCCUUCAGAGUUGCAAGUGAAACAGAAUUUGUAGCUGGCGUAGUCUCAGUGCCCUGAUUCUAUAAACGCUUUUCUAUAAAAAUGCAGCUUUCGGUGAGAGACUCAAAGACAGUACAUUUUAGCAAUACGGACAUUGCUGAAUUUUAUCUUUCUGUUCUUUAGCAAGCAUAUUUUGUUUUAACAGAGGAAGAACGAAAUGAUGCCAUGUAUCUUUUCAGCUGUAGCUGAGCUUUUACAUUAACUGCAGUCUCACUUCAUUAUUAUAGGUUAUAAUUCAGGAAUGAAUUUGGUCAAUUUACUGGAAGAUUCUCCAUGUUGUCAGGCAAUUCUGGAAAGUUGAGUUGUAGGAUUUAAAUACAGUAACAUGUUGUCAUGAGAAACAUUAAUUAUUACAGAAUCCAGUUGCAUCUAACUAAUCUCCAUCAUCUCAAAUGAAAAACAAAGAGAGUGUAUUAGUUUCAGCUUUUGAUAAAGGGUGUCAUGUCAGAGCUACCUUCUGAAAAAAGAGGGGACUGUAGAGCUCAGACUGCCGGUUAGAAACCUUAUAAUUCUUACCUGGAGACCAACAUAAAAAUGAGUCUGUGGGUUGUAUUUAAGAGAUGGCUGUACAAUAAAUCUGUCUACUGCAGCUGGCACAGAACUGGCACUCUUGAUGGGAGUCUUAAUAUAGAGAUCAAAAAUUAAAUUAACAAUUGCAAAUGUGUUACUUGUCUAAACCCUGGAAGUUGUCCCUCUAAGGCAAUGCAGAGCCAUAGUGCUAGGCGGUGCUGAGAAACUGCUGGGAAGGCGGUAGUCCUUCCGAGGGGCUGAUCCAGUGCUGCUCUGUGCUAGGAUGUGAAGUGGUGCCGGGGACUGUCCCGCGCCCUGGGAUGCAAUCAUCCGCGCUUGCUGUUGUUAGGCUGGGCCCUAGCGUGGCUUUGGCUUGUGUCAGCACUUUCCCAGACAGUUCCUAGACGUGGCUUAAGAGUUGGCUUGGGCCAUUUGCAGUACACAGUUUGGACAUGCCGCUCUGUUUUGACGAGUAGAAGACUUUAGUAGCAAGCAUGACGGCCAUCCUGUGCUAGCUGGCCCCAGUGCCAGAGAAUGGUCCCAGCAUGUUCAAUUUAGUAAGACAGAGGUACCCCUUUUCUCGUGAUAGUACCAUAGGAGAAAAAAACUCCAAUUAAAAGAAACCAUGAAAUAUCAGACAUUAGAAUCCUACAAACAAGUUAAAAGUUUUAUCAUGAAAUAUUUUCUGUCUUUCUUUAAAUCACAAGUAACACAUUUGAGCUAUGAAGUCAAUGAAUCUGUCUCAGCCCCUGGCUAGACCCCCGUCUUGCAUCCGUCGGAGUCCGGGAUCAAUGUCAGGCUUGUUUCAUGGGUGCUGAAUUGAGUGCUUAGCGCCCGGCUCUGUACGGCUGCGCGCUCUGAAAUCCUGAUGAGUUCGAUGAGCACUGAAAGAGCGCAUCGCCUCUGAGACUCGGGCAGAUACUGAAGUCAGUGAAGCCUCACUGAAGUCCGUGUCACAAGCUUAAAAAGCUCAAAAUUAUCCUGGACGUUCUUGUUCAUGCCCUUCAAGAAUCCCGUCUCCCUUCGCGACGGACAACCGAGAAGUCCUGUUUCCUAUCGGAAGUCGAAGUGAGGUGUGUAAGGCGAAGGCAGGAGCGGCUGCCGUUUUGUGAAGGCAUACGUUCGCGUGUGGCCUCAGCACGUUCCCACGAACUGGGCAGCCGCACGCCCGCCGUUCCUGAGCAGCACGCGAGGAGCGGCGGAGACUGCGCUGGCGUACCCUGCCUCCGGAGACAGCUCUGCGGUGCUGCCGCUGGAGCCGUCCCUUCCCGGCGCUCCGCCGUGCUGCGAUCUGCCGGCACUUCUGAGGCUCAUCUGCCAGAGAAGGCUGUCCCUCUGCAACGAAAAUAAAAUUCAAAUCAAUACAGGUAAUAUCAAUUUUGCCUGUUUUGAUCAGGAACAGAUUUAAUUAAACCAUAACCAGCUACUUUGUGUGGAAGUAAGUGUCCAUACAGUCUUCAGUCUAACCGUACUGCUUUAUAGACACAUUUAAAGUUAUGCAGCAAUACAACUUUCUUCUGCAGCAAAGCGCUUCGAGAGUCCUCAGAAUCCUAUGGCACCAAGUCAUAGAAAUAUAAUAUGAAGGUCUAGGACAUCUGACUGUAGGAAACUUAUGAAUGCUGUCUGAAUUCAUGGAACUGUUGUAUUAUUUAAUGCCGUGCUGCAUAAUGACCCAGACGUUUGUUUCAGAAUUUAUGUUGCCUACUUCAGGCCUGAGCUUAAAGAGUUGUGAGAGGAGCAACUGAGAGUCGUUCAUUGCCAUAACCUGCCAUCCUUCGGGAAGCGGUCGCAAAUCCUGACCUGCGUGAGAGGCAGGGGAAGUCUCCUCUCUCAAAGCGAUGGACAACAGCGGAAAAUCUUCAGCAGAAAGUGAAGAGUGAAGACAAAUGUGUAUGUAAGUGCUAUUAAAUGGGGACAUACCUGGUGCUGGAAGCGGUCGUGGCUGGCAACUGCGGGCACGUGUCAAGGGGAGCUCACCGCAGAGCUGCGGACAGCCUGUGACCGGGGAGGAGACUGGGCACCCUGAAGCUGGGCACCGACAGAAGCUGGGUGACGGUAUUGAUUGUGAAGGGCUUGGAAUUGCCUGGAGAUAUUUCAGGAUUUCAGGUUAUAUUCUGUUAACAGAUGUUUUUUCUUUACCCUUUGGUGUUUUUAGUGCAGAUUUACAUGCCUAGACUGUAUAAUUAUUGAUUUUGCAACUGUAUUCACCAAUACAUCUGCAUAGAUGAACCAGUUUUCUUUCUUUAUUUUUAGCCUUCUUGUGUCUUCCUCCUCUUUGGUCUGGGAACUCUAAAAUGUGAAGGAAGUAUAUUUGUUGAAGAAUCUAUAUAGUUGCAGUCUUUUCGUUGUGUUUACUUUUCCUUGUACAGGAUCCUCAACUGUUGUUGCUGGGAUGGUUCUACAGUGACUAUUCAUUGCUAAUUAUUAGACAAUAUAAAUAAAAUACUUUCUUCUUUGUAAA
Rhea pennata is the source of this 10318-nucleotide long non-coding RNA. RefSeq lists it as uncharacterized. The transcript has 2 exons. The record is from RefSeq and is a predicted model, not a curated record. NCBI's taxonomy places the organism in Eukaryota, Metazoa, Chordata, Aves, Rheiformes, Rheidae.